RNAcentral lists this ribosomal RNA (254 nucleotides) under uncultured bacterium. Its description in RNAcentral is "partial 16S ribosomal RNA". It matches the Rfam family "Bacterial small subunit ribosomal RNA", at positions 524 to 776 of the family's 1533-position model. The record is from RNAcentral.
UACGUAGGGAGCAAGCGUUGUCCGGAAUCAUUGGGCGUAAAGCGCGCGUAGGUGGCCUCAUAAGUCCGCUGUGAAAGUCAAAGGCUCAACCUUUGAAAGCCGGUGGAUACUGUGAGGCUAGAGUACGGAAGAGGCGAGUGGAAUUCCUGGUGUAGCGGUGGAAUGCGCAGAUAUCAGGAGGAACACCAAUAGCGAAGGCAGCUCGCUGGGACGUUACUGACACUGGAGGCGACGAAGGCGUGGGAGCGAACAGG